AAUAGAUACCCCGGUAGUCCACGCCGUAAACUAUGGAUACUAGGUGUCCGGAUGUUAACCUUCUGGGUACCGUAGCUCACGCAUUAAGUAUCCCGCCUGGGGAGUACGGUCGCAAGACUAAAACUCAAAGGAAUUGACGGGGGCCCGCACAAGCAGUGGAGUAUGUGGUUUAAUUCGAAGCAACGCGCAGAACCUUACCUGGGCUUAACAUCCCCUGACAGCGGCAGAGAUGUCGUGUUCCCUUCGGGGACAGGGAGAUAGGUGCUGCAUGGCUGUCGUCAGCUCGUGUCGUAAGAUGUUGGGUUAAGUCCCGCAACGAGCGCAACCCUUGUUCUUAGUUGCUACCAUUAAGUUGGGCACUCUGAGAAGACUGCCGGUGUUAAACCGGAGGAAGGCGGGAUGACGUCAAGUCCUCAUGGCCCUUACGUCCAGGGCUACACACGUACUACAAUGGCAGAGACAAAGCGUCGCGAAGCCGCGAGGUGGAGCUAAUCGCAAAAACNCUGUCUCAGUCCGGAUUGAAGUCUGCAACUCGACUUC
This 540-nucleotide ribosomal RNA is filed under the name uncultured bacterium. Its description in RNAcentral is "bacterial SSU rRNA". It matches the Rfam family "Bacterial small subunit ribosomal RNA", at positions 777 to 1319 of the family's 1533-position model. The record is from RNAcentral.